Molecule: long non-coding RNA, 9272 nt
Organism: Hypanus sabinus (Atlantic stingray)
Lineage: Eukaryota; Metazoa; Chordata; Chondrichthyes; Myliobatiformes; Dasyatidae
Exons: 3
Source: RefSeq, a predicted model, not a curated record
UCAGAGCUGAAGUUCACGAAAGUGAGUCUACAGCCGAUUCAGACCGGUACCGGUUAACUGCAGACCACAGCCUCAGUUCAGUGCAGUGAAGAGGAAAUGGAAGUUUAUUCCAAUGUCGCAAUCUGCAUUAAAAACACAGGCACAGUCAGAAACUCUGGAAGGCCCUACGCAUUGCAAGCCUUUGCUGCAAAGGCCAGAUUUCAUUCUGAGCGGCGAUUGGUUCGUUGCUGUCACGUGUACUGAGACGCAGCGAAAAACUUUAUUUUGCAUGCCAUGCAUACAGACCAUUUCAAAACAUCAGUAUGUUCAGACAGCACGAAGGAAAGGCAAUAACAGAAAGUUACAGAAGGCUCAGAUUUCAGCAGGUAGCCCAGAAGGAAGUCACAAGAGAAAAGCCUUUUUGAAUGAACCUGCGGCUCUGACUACUCUCGGGUGGAGAUGGGUAACCUUGGCUAACCAAUUACCUAAUGCAACCCUGAGCAAAAGGAGAGAGCGUCUUCACCGUGUGUUGACCACCAUUAACCCCUCAACCUUUUGGUUACCACACCGCUGUUUGAGGGAUCUCAAUGUGCCUGGACUGGUCACAAUGCCCUGUUGAGAAGAUGAAUCUGAUCGUGUGGAGUCACAGGCUUUUCCCCCAGGGCUGAAAUGGCUAACACGAGAUGGUGCAGUUUUAAGGUGCUUGGAGAUUUCCAGCACCUGCAGUCCCUCAGGUCUCCAUGAAGGUGCCAGUGAAGCUGGAUGGAUCUGCACUUCCAGUCACCCUCUCCAGAAUUUCUCCGCAGCACUGUGAGCAUCUCCAACACAAAAGACGGGAGCAGUGGUUCAAGACGGCCUCCGGUUCACCAGCGGACUUGGCACGGCUCGUGAAUGAACAGUGAACAAUUUCUUUUAAUUUUAAAAAGACAUGCACAUAAUUAGACCCUUUGAAUGCGAUUACUGUUUAGAAUGGUGGGCACGUCCUAGUCACAACCUUCUGGUGAAUUGUCAGAGGGGACACAUACCAGGUCAAAUUCCAGCAAGCCCACCACAGAACCUACGUAUAAAAUGGAGCUCAACAACAGAAUGAUUGAAAAGGAGAUGUUUGUUCAACAGGUUUGCUGCUCUGCUACUUACUUAGCAAAGGCAGCGCUGCCCAGCAGGAACAUCUCUCGCUGCUGAGUUCAAAUCAAUUCUUUUCAAAAUCAGAUAAUGCAGGAAGAACAAUUCCAGACUGUUGAGUAAUAUUGACAUUGUUGCCGAUGAAAGGUUCUUAAUUCUUCUACAUCCUCAGGAAGUUUAGAUGGCGCAGUAAGUGGAAGUCACUGUUGUAAUGCAGGAAGCUCAGCAACCAAUUUGUGCACAGCAAGCUCCCACAAAGAGUAGAAUCAGGAUCGGGUGUAUUGUCACUGACACAGUCAUGAAAUUUGUUUCUAUGGCAGCAGUAAGUGCUGGCGUAUCAAAUGACAAGUUACAAACUUUUUAAAGAGCAGUGCAAAAGAGGAACAGUGAACAAUGUUAUAAUUACCAGAUAUAUAUCGAUGUGCUCAUUACUGACCCAGCCAUACUAUUAGAACCUCCCCCCCCCCCAUUCCCUGUAGCCCUGCAAUUUAUUCACUCUCUCAUGCCCCAACAACUCUUUUGCCAUUUACUGGGGGCAACUUUCAGCAGCCAGUUAACCCGCCAACCUCUGGGCAGAAACAGGAGUGACCGGGAAAAGCCAACAGUUACAGGGAGAUCGUACAAACUCCUCACAGACAGCGCCCGAGAUCAGGAUUGAACUAGGUUCAUCAGCGAUGCUGAGCUGCUGCUCUAAUCACGGCACCUCCAUGUUGCCCCCAUUGUUUACGGAGUGAGUACUAGUCAGAAUGCUGAUGACUAAGAUCGACGCAGCUUUGGAGAUAGAAGGAAUUAGGGAACGCGGGGAUCAUGCUCUCAGAAAUGGACCAGGGCACAGAAUAGCUAUGAUCCCAUUUUAUCACAGUACAGUCUAAAAGGACUGAAUGGCCUUCUUCCCUUUUCAUAUUUAUAACUCUGCCAGCUAACUGACUGCACUGGGAUCCCAAACAGCUCCUCUGACAGACGGUACCCUCUCAAUCUGCACUGAAAUAUCUGGAAAGGUUGAGUGAGGCUCCAGUGCGAUCCCAUGUGCAAUAUUUCCGGGCAUAGUCAAUGACCAGAUUUGUCAAACAACAAAACCCUGAGCCAAUACAAAUUAAAUUUGGGCGUGGAGAACAAAUAACGAAUUCCUCUAAAAGACAAGAGCAGUUGGAACCAGCUACGGUUAGAUUUUUGAAAGCAUUGCAUGAUCAAAGUUACUGUGCAGCCAACAGGAGAACUCUGCCUGUUCUCCUGCUCCAUCUGCUUCCCAAUGUGUUCUGCACUCUGCAGCUUGCUGACUGAAAAUCCAUCAGCCAAAGUCCAGUAAUCUUCAAGGUGUCAGCUCAGAACCACGUGCGUCUAUGUGGGUGGUGCUGUAAGGGGCCUCACUCCCCCCACAGGGGCAGAGAUGGUCGUAUGUGCAUAUCAAGCUCAUUCAUCAGACGUCUGUCACGUCACGACUAUUUCCCCCCUCCCUCCCCCCAAAGAAUGUCUUCUGCAGAGGCUUAAUUGGAUUAAUAACCCCAGUUCUGAUGAAAGAUCCUGGUCCUGAAAUGUUAACUGCUUCUCCCUUCACAGAUACUGCCUGACCAGGCUGAACUUUUGCGUCUUCCACUGCAUUUGCAACCAAACUGGUUUUGCCCUCAACCUCAUCUCAUUAGGUACGAACCACCGCUCCAGGUAAAUUGAAGCCCUGUUAAAGUGCCCUCCCACGUCCGAUGGAGCCACCAACAUUCCGGAAGUUCAUCAACAUUCACAUCCAAACCACACAAGUAAUUAUAAUUCACAGUUCUGCACACCAUCAUGGCAAAUAAAGGGAGCUUAGCAGUUAGCACAAUGCUCUAGCGUACUGGGGUUCAAUUCCCGUUGCUCUCUGUAUGGUGUCUGUGCGCUCUCCCUCUGAUUGCGUGGAUUUUCUCCAGGCGCUCCAGCUUCCUCCCGCUCGGUAGGUUACUGGCUCGUUGCAGGAUUAAAUCGGCCGAUUGCUGGGUGACGUGGCUUGAAAGGCCGGUAGAAACUAUUCUGCGCUGCAAGUCAAUUAAAAAAAGGUUCCAAAGACAAGAUCCAAAUGGUGACCUUAGGUUGUUAAAGAUAACGGGCUGCCAUGCAAAGAGCACUCAACUGAAUUCCAACAACAGACACUUCACUGUCACUCAGAUAUCGCAGCCAAGCGAGAAGGAAGGACAACUACUGGGACAGUAUUGACACUGGAUCCCUUCGAUGCUUCGACUGACACCAACAAUGAGUAAUUCCACCUCAGCAAUGGAACACCACAGGCCACCUUCUUGCCCCACCAUGGACUUUUCACUGAAUGCAUUUUUUUUGCACCAAUGUCUAGCCUUUUUUUUCUUCACCAUCUUAUAUAAUUUAUGUGUAAGAUGUUCUGCAUGUUGUGUCUGAGCCUAUAAGCCUGUGACGCGGCAGCAAUUAUAUCUGCACCUUACUGUACGUGUGUACGACAAUAAACUCGACUUGAUGAAUGCUGUGAGGCAAAAUCGCUAGGAAAGGUUGGUAACCCCUGCUCUAGUCAGUAAGUGGAGAAUACCAGUCAGCCCACGCUUCUGUCUCUCCUUCUUGAAACAGUCAGAGGGUGAAAGCAGCACAACUACAGAGUGCUGGCCCAUUACCAGGAAAUACUCAGCUUCAACCUCUGGGUUAGACCACCAGGAUUGGGUUCGUCAUCACUGACAGACGAUGUGAAGUGUGGUGUUUCUCCACAGUAGGACAGAACAAGACAGAAAAAAUAUACACACAUUACAAAAAUAAAUAAAUAUACAAGAAGGAGGAAUAAUGAGGUAGUGUUUAUGGGUUCAUGGACCAUUCAGAGGCCUGAUGGUGUAGGAAAAACCAUUGAGUGUGUUCUUCAUGUUCCUGUACCCCCUCCCCAAUGGUAGUAAUAAGAAGAGGGCAUGUCCUGGGUGGCGAGGGUCUUCACCGAUGGAUGCUAGCUUCUUGAGACUCCACUUCAUGAAGGUGUUCUCACUAGAGAGGUAGGUUGUGCCCGUGAUAACCCUCUGUCGUCUCUCAUAGUUCUGUGUGUUCAAGGCUCUGUACCAGACUGGAAUGUAACCAGUCAGGGUGCUCUCCACAGUCCAUCUGUUGAAAUUUCCGAGUCUUUGGUGACAAACUGAAUCUCCUCACACCUCGAAUGACGUAGAGUUGCUGCCGUACUCUCUUCGGGUUUGCAAUGUGCCGAGACAGCAGGAGGGCACAACAAUCACCACUCCCAAUCUCAACAAUGGUUGAGAACCCAACAGCAAGGCUGCCUGCUGCCAAUCCGCCAUCUCUACAGUUGCCACCUGCGAAGCUCCAGCCGGGACUGAGGUGGCUUUGUGGUUGCAUACCUUUCCGGAGAAAGAGCAAAGACCUGGAUUUCUGCAGUGCCGGCACAUUCCAAAGCACCUCACUGAUUUUGCAAGUGCGGCCUGUUUCAAUGCAGGGAGCCCGGCAACCUGUGCACAGCGAGAUCCCACAAGCAGCAAUACAAGGCGAACCAGGGCGACAAGUUGCUGCUGCUGGAGGGGAAAAUAUUAGCAUCGUGGGACAACCUAUUAUUUAUCAAAAAAAAGUAGCCGGGGAUCUUCCAUGUUAACCAUGGGCAGAGCCUCAGGUUAACUUGGACACACAAGACACGACAUGAAAUGUCAACUGCCCACUUCUCUCCACAGGCCAAGUUCCUCCAGCAUCUUGUGUGCUGCCUCAGCCGAAACUUCUCAACCAAACGAUAUCCACAUUAGUCCUGGAAGCUUCCUGUGCAAAACAUCACGGGGGCUCAACAGCGUGGCUCGAUGCUGGACCUUUCAAAAUGGGGCUGUGGCACGAGGCAAACCAUUGUUUCAUUAACUUGCAGGGGUUCAUGAGAUUGCGAAGCUAAACAUUUUUGAAGCUUCAUUCACAUUUCCGCAGCUUUGCCCUUUUCUGAAGGAAGCAUUCCAAAGUAAUCAACAAAAAUCAGCCCUGGAACUGGCUAACGGUCAGCAGUGAGAUUGCAGCUGUUCUCCUGCACUGAAGGAAAUCUCAGGUGGAUGGGGGGGAGAGGGGAGGGUGGAACUGCCAGAAAUGUAGUCAUUGUUCCUCCCCCAGCGACUCUGGUCCAAAACCUCAGUACGAGCAGAAGUGUGUAAUGAUUUUUGGCACAUUGAUGGACUCCACCAACUGCAGCUUUCAUAACUUGCAAUUGUAUCAAAAGCCCGAGUUUCUCCCCACGCUGAUUUGGCACAUUGGGCAACAAUCUUGCCUUUUUUUUAUCAUUGCCGAGUUGCUAGCUCGACGCUCAACCCAGCAUGAGUAGAAUUCGCACAAGGAGACGGCCAGAUUCAAACCCAGGACCUCCCACUCCGAAGCCUGGUGCAGAUACCACCCCACCACUGGUACGGGCUAGCAACAGCCUGAAGCUUUUCCUUGAGACUCCUUCCAACGUCCGAGUAAAGAAGGCCCACUUAGACACAGCCCAGAACUAUCUGCAAACACGAAGGAAAUCUGCAGAUGCUGGAAAUUUAAGCAACACACACAAAAUGCUGAUCUCUUCUUUUAGUCCUGACGAAGGGUCUCGGCUCGAAACACCGACUGUACUUCUUCCUAUAGAUGCUUCCUGGCCUGCUGCGUUCCACCAGCAUUUUGUGUGUAUUGCCCAAACUAUCUGCUGCUGGUUACGGUACAUUCAAAGUGUUGCCUGUGAGGGCAACAUGAGAGGGGGAGGGAGAGAGGGGCAGGGAGAGAGGGAGGGAGAGAGAGAGGGAGAAAAAGAAAGAGGGAGAAAGAGAGAGAGAUGAGGAGAGGGAGAUAGAUGGGGGAGAUGGGAAAGAGGGUAGGUAGAGAGAGAUGGGAGAUCAUGAAAGAGUGAUGGCUCAAGAAGGUGAGAAUCCAUUAUUAAGGGCACUCAUCAUCCAGGGCAUGUUCGCUUCUCAUUCCUCCCAUCAGGGAGGAGGUACAGAGGCCAGUAGACACACACUCAAUGUUUUAGGGGCAGCUUCUUCCCCUCCACUAUCAGAUUUCUGAAUGGUCCAUGAACUGAUGAAUAUAUCCUCACUAUUCUGCUCUCUUAUUGCACCAAUAAUUUUACUUUUAUAUUUAUGUAAUAUAUAGUAAUGUUUUAUGCCUCACAUACUGCUGCUGCAAAACAACAUUUCACAACACGUCAUUGGUAAUAAGCCUCAUUCUGAGCCUACGAGGUCCUCAGAUAUCAUCACCGUGGUAACACAUUUGAACACAGCAAGGCCUCCACAAACUCGAGUACUAAUAGCACGUGGACUUUAGACAGUAUUGUGCUGAAUGGGGGAUAAUAUUGACCAAGCCACAGAGGCAGCAAGAUUCCUACACUUUUUUUUGAAGCAACAACUUGGAGAUCUUUGAGCUGGAGGGUAGCAGGGACAAAAGGAUAUGGACAGUGGAAGCCAAAGUAAAAUCAGAAAAUGCUGGAAAAGCUCAGUGGGCCAGGCAGCAAGAGAGUUAGUGCUUCAAGCUGACAACCUCUUCUAACAACCAGAAGGAUGACACGAUCAGCAGGACUGAUUUACUUACUGCCUCAAAUUCACUGCAAUCCUAAAAGGAUAUGAAUACACCCCACGUUCUUAUUCUGACGUCAGCCCCCUUCCAUUCCAGUCCUGAUGAAGGCUCUCGGCCCAAAACGGCCACUGUUAUUUCAUCUCCGUAGAUGCUGCCCGACUUGCUGAGUUCCAAGAGCAUCUGGCAUGUACUGAGUAUUUUCAGCAUUCUCUUUUAAUUCAAAUGCCCAGCAAUUGCUGUAUUUUGCCUCUCUCAACAGCAGUAUUGUCUGUCUCAUCGAUCCUCAAAUCUUGCCGUUCCAUUUCCAUUUGCUCCUGAUAGAGCAGCCACGAUUAGCAAGCAUUCGGCAUCCUCUCUGAGACGGCUGAAAGCAUUCGAGUUGCCUGAACACUUUAUCCAUCACACCCACCCCCCCUUGUCUCCACCUCUCAGCCCUCUCUGGAACUCGAUACACAUUCAGUUUCUCUCUUCUCCAAUUCUGAUGAAGGGUUAUCAAACUGAUACGUCGACCCUGUUUCCCUCUCCACAGAUACUGCCAGUUCUGCUAAGUACCUCCUCUACCUUCUCCUCUUAUUUCAGUCUUCCAGCCAGAUUUCCUUCCCUGAAGAACAUUUGUGAACCAAACACAGUGGUUUGCAGUUACUACUACUGUUUUGUUUUAAAUUCCAUAGAAAAAUGAAUCAUUUGAACUUAAGGUCCACGUCUGCCAUGGCGGGAUUUCAACUUGCGCCUCUGGGUCAAUGGUCCAGCCCUCUGGCUGCUCGUCAAGUGACCACACCACUAAAUUACUUUGGAAUCACAUUGUACAGGAUGAUAAAGACAUCCGUGGCAUGUAAAAGAGUUCACCAAUUAAAAUUCACAUUUGGAAAGUUUGGUUCUUAUUCAUUUUAAAACAACACCAGACAAUCUUAACAAUAAAUGAAAAGUAAAUUCAUCCAGCCACCGUAACUAAAGUAGAUUUAUUUCUUUGGAGAAAAGCUGACGGUGCAAGGUGACAUGAGAAGUAACGCUAGCAUAACAUUUUACAGUGCCAGUGAUAGGCGUUCAAUUCCCACUGCUGUCAGUAUGUUCUCCCUGUGACUGUGUAGGAUUCCUCCAGAUCCAGUUUCCUCCAAAGACAAACAGUAUUAUUAUCGUUGGCAUGGUGACACUUACAGGCUGCCCUCAGCCCAUAUUCAAAUGGUGUUGGUCAUUCAUUAAAACACUGUACGUUUCACUGUUUUGAUGUGCAUUUGACAAACAAAACUAAUCUGUAAAAUCUUUGAAAGACUUACCCUGCCCAAUAAUCACUGCUUACCAACAGCGUUGUGUCCCCAUUGAGAGCUCAAACACUGGAGAAGGGAUCACAUCAAGUGCCCUGGUCUAUCACAAUCCAAAUGAAUUUGCUGAAAAGUGCACACAACAUGCUAUAGGUUUACAGACCAUUUAUAGAGCAUAAACCAUUCCAAACAAUAACAGCAAGUCACUGAAUUCUCCAACUUCUCCCCUCCCUCUGUCCCAUCAUUUUUGGUUUGUUGAAAUACAACAUGGAACAGGCCCAUUGAGCCACACUGUCCAACAACCCCCGAUUUAACUCGGCCUCAUAAAAAAAGCAGUCAAAUGCUACAGAUAUGGCAAAAAUCGCGACAAAUGCGCCAGAAGGCGUGAAAAGAAACAAUAACAACAACAAAGGUUACAGGGAGAAGGCAACAGAAUAGGGGGAGGUUGAAAGGGAAAAUAAAUCAGGCAUGAUCAAAUAAAUGGUGGAACUGAUUCGAUGGGCCAAAUGACCUAAUAUUGUUCCUAUGUCUUACACCUCCUGACUGAGGCCACAGUGUGAGUGUGAGGCAUUAUUGGGAUGUCAACUUAGAUACAGAAGACCGCACAAUAAAAUAAAUUAUGUACUUGCUGUAUGUCCCUUUGCGAAUUUACUUCACAGGUUAGAGGUAUGAUUCAUUUUGACAUGCAAAAAUGAAAGAUAUAAUCCAGGCAAAUACCAACGUGACCAGUACUGAGAUGAAGAGAAAGACAACAGGUCAAUAAGCAGGGCCUCAUUGCUCUCUACUGCAGACAGUUUGCUUUCCCAAAGGACUGUCUGCUUGAGGAUAAUCCAUUUCACCUCCCCCUCAUAGGCCCGCAGUUCAAAUUCAUUAUUCACAGUUCAACAGGUCCAUCUCUCGGUUGACAUGCUCUAUCAGACCUCUCUUCAAUAUUAAUUUUAUCACUCCACUUGUUGACAUUGUCUGUCCAUGUGUGUGCAGAUCCAGUCCUUAAGAAUGGAAGAUGAAGGGGAGAGUUUUGCUCCAGAUAUUAAUUGUUAAUCGGGGAGUUAGUGAGGGGAGAGAGUCCAGAACUAAUUGUCGAUCCUUGAAAUUCAUUCAGUGGUGACAUUAAAGAAUUUUAUUGCACACACAGGACAGCACGAUUCUGGAAGUCUUGCCCCAGAAAGACUGUUAGGGACCGGUGGGAAUCAAAUAAAACUUUCAAUCCUGAGAUUGACAGAUUUUUGUAGGACAUAGAAUAUUAAUGUAACCUGUGUUAGAUGGAAUUAGGAUACACAUCAACAAGCACAGCUUUAAGGGGCUGAAUGACCUGUUAAUCCAAGGUCAUCAAUUAUCUUGUCAUUUGACAUUCUCAUGCCCAUUUUCUCAUCUUUUAUGGGCCUCAAUGACCAAUACCAACAAUUUCAGGGUAAACUGUACCCCAUU